Long non-coding RNA from Hyla sarda, 449 nucleotides. RefSeq lists it as uncharacterized. The transcript is spliced from 3 exons. The record is from RefSeq and is a predicted model, not a curated record. NCBI's taxonomy places the organism in Eukaryota, Metazoa, Chordata, Amphibia, Anura, Hylidae.
CGUGUCCCUGCCUCAUGUGCUCCGCGUCUUCGGAGGAUUCAUGGGUGAUGAAUUCCUCCCCAACCCCCGGACAUUCCUGGACCUGGAGCGGCAGAAAGUGAAAGUGAAGACAAGAGACUGAAUGAGAAGAAAUCCUACAGAAGUAGGGCGAAAAGUGGCAUUACAGUGGUCUAUCAAUAAUGGUGCCUACUUCACUCUUGGUCCUGGACCUUGCUGCUGACGGCAAGCUGGCAAACUCUGUAGAUGAUGCAAGUGACUCGAGCAGACCUCAGCAGCCUGAUGCAGCAAUGGAGAAUUGAGUCAACACACAAGCAAGUCAGGGCUUUUGUCAGCCAUUGCCAAGAAAAAAAAAUCAACACAAGAAUCAUUACCAGAUUAUUAUCUUUAAUGAGACCAUGAUCUUUUAUAUCCAUGAUCUUUAAACACUGCUGAGCAUAUGCUGCAUUAAA